GCUGGGCGUGGUGGCGCACGCCUGUAGUCCCAGCUACUCAGGAGGCUGAGGCAGAAGAAUUGCUUGAACCCGGGAGGCGGAGGUUGCAGUAAGUUGAGAUCGCACGACUGCACUCCAGCCUGGGUGACAGAGUGAGAGUCUGUCUCAA
Non-coding RNA from Pan troglodytes (chimpanzee), 148 nucleotides. It matches the Rfam family "Metazoan signal recognition particle RNA". From Rfam's summary of the family: The signal recognition particle (SRP) is a universally conserved ribonucleoprotein. It is involved in the co-translational targeting of proteins to membranes. The eukaryotic SRP consists of a 300-nucleotide 7S RNA and six proteins: SRPs 72, 68, 54, 19, 14, and 9. NCBI's taxonomy places the organism in Eukaryota, Metazoa, Chordata, Mammalia, Primates, Hominidae. The record is from Rfam.